RNAcentral lists this long non-coding RNA (4030 nucleotides) under Lynx canadensis (Canada lynx). RNAcentral describes it as "lncRNA (ENSLCNG00005000484.1)". Lineage: Eukaryota; Metazoa; Chordata; Mammalia; Carnivora; Felidae. The record is from RNAcentral.
AUGCCCUCCCUCCUAUGCUGCCCCCUGAAAUCGCUGGCCGUGGUGAUCGGCCCCAGGGCAUCGCCAGGACACAGCUGGGCUUUGAGGAGGGGCAGCUCCCUUGCAGUCUGGGUGGUUGGGAACGCGUUGUGCCCUUUCCACUGCCCCGGAGACGUGGAUGGGGAGGCAGUGCCGCAGACAGAUUCUAGAAUGUGCCAGCCCCAACUAGAGCAGCUGCUGGGCUGUGUGGAGGGAGGAGGUGCUAGAGACAGGAGCUCAGGGAGGAGGAGCAUGGUUGUGGGGGUGGGGGGAAAGGGGAGUAGCAUGGGAGAGAGGAGCUUGAGGAAGGAGCUCAGGGGCAGGAGCAGAGGUUCACAUGUGUCCAGGAAGAUGGCUUGUCACUGGGGCAGGGACCUGAGGACGAGCCGUGGAGCCGGGUUGAGGCAGUGCCCAGGGAUGGCUCCUCUGAGCGGCCUGCUGAUCCUUCAGAGACUGGCAGCAUGAGACAUUGCUGACGAGACAGCUUGUCAUCCUGGGCCACAGCAGUAACAACUGUUCAGGUUUUGGCCAGACUUGCUACUCCCCCAUUCUUUCACCCUGUGUUCUGUGGAAUGCACAUGGUGCCGCUUAGUGUCUCCAGCCCCUUUCUUAAGGAAGAACACCACACCAGCAUGCGAGGCGCACUCUUAGCCUGACAGUGUCCUCAGUAAUUUUAUUGGCAGACAUGGUGGCUAUAAAGGGCACUCGUUAUUUCUGCAGUAUCAGUUCAUUUCAAGCACAGUUUUGGCGGGCCGGCCAGGGUCUCCUCACGGGCUGCACAGAAGGCGUCUCAGAGAGACAUUUUCAGAGUCCGGCAAGUCAACAGGAACGUGCCGUGUUUUGGACUGUACACUCAACAGAAUGCUCCGCGUUUGUGGGCGAGUCAGCCGGUCCUGGAUCCUGGCAAGAGGCAUGCGCUGGGCCACGAAGGGGUGCGGCUCUGUUGGGAGAGCUGUCACAUGGUGGGGUGGUCUUGUGCUCCCUGGCACGAUGGCCAUGGGCCACAUGUGGCUGCUGAGCACUGGAAGUGUGGCUUAUCCAGCUUGAGGUGUGCUGGGAGUACACCAUUCGGCAAUUGAUGAAAGCAUGUGUCUCGUUAGCGUUGUUCGCGUUGACCUCACGCUGAAGUGAGAAUAUCUUGGUUUGAUGGGGUAAAAUAGGGUGCAUUGUUGACAGUCAUAAUACUUACUGUUGAAAAUGUGCACGUUAGAAAAUUUCAAGUCCCAGCUGUGGCUCUCCAUAGGCAGGACAUCUGCCAUAGCCUGCUCAGGGCUACGAGAGCAGGCCUGGGUCCUAACCCCCUCGCAUGGCUGUCUGAGUGCUAUGACCUGGGUCAUCACACCAUGAUCCCUGUGGGCUCAUCACAUCAGGGCUGCACUGACUGGCCCUGAGCUUAGGGUCUUGGGCAAGCUACCUGGGCCUGGUUUGAGACACAGCUAGUUUGAAGGCUCUUAGAGACCAGUUGGGGUGCAUGGCAGGGGAUCCACAGUCCUUACCCAGAUCUGGGCUGACCGGGAUGAGGUCGUGGGUGUGUGGCUUCAGCCCCCAGAGUCACACGUCUGUGCGAGCGUGUGGGCACGGGGUGGAAGGAGGCCAGAUGCUCAAGCGCCACAGCGUUACUAGCAGUGCUUGUCUGACAGCACCAGCUGGGUUGGGUUCAGGACAACAUACUUCCUUUUCUAGUUCUGUGUCCCUGUGUGCUUUCCCAGUGAGAUCUGGCCAGUAGCUGCCUUACUAAAAGCCCAUGCCAUCAGCACAGGUGCACCUGUGCCUGCUCAAGUGCAGAUCCUGCUGGUCUGGAAGAUGCUUGGUGGGGUUGACAGGGACAUAGAUGGCCCAGCACAGGGGGUCCCUCGUGGGUGUGGAAUAGGGUGCACAUGGGUAGUACAGGCCGGCCUGCCGGGGACAUGUGUGUGCAUACCUCCUGGAGCGCCGCGUUGGUGCACUGAAGGUGGAGGCCUGCUGGGAGGGGUGGUUGGUGGGAGAGGGACCUGCCUCACACGGUGCUGAGCGGUGACUGUUUAUUGUGCUGUUUGGGCCUCAGCCAUGUGAGGUCAUAGGAACGCGAUGGAAAAGACCUCCUGUAUUAGGUCAUCCAGCCCGUCCCUCAGAGCCGACUGACCCCACAGUAUACUUCCAGAGCUCCGUCCAGUUUUUCCAGUGACUCAGCGGCUCCCAGAGGGCGCGCAAGGCUGGUGUCUGAGGCCUGCUACCUCGGGUCAGGAUUGUUGUUCCGUGCCUGGACGGGGCUCCGGGGGUGAUGCUGGGCUCGCAGAGAGGUGAGGGGCCCAGCCUGCCUCUGUCACAGCGACCUCUGCUCCUCACCGCCGGCCCCUCCAUGAAGCAGGCUGUCGCGGUGCUCCUGCAGCUGAGCCUCCAGGACUUGGCAGGGGCGCGCCUCACAUGGCGCUUUAUAGUUUUGACAGCUUGCUCCCAUUUGUGAGCUCAUUCCGGCCUCACCACUCCUGAGGAAGGAGCUGAUCUGCUCAUCCUCCCGGCCACCUCCCUGCCUCCAUUCUCUUCCUCGUGUGGCAGCCAGCAGUGCAGGUGUGGCUUCUUGCGAUGCCUCCCGAGACGUCACCUGGGGACUGGUGUGCUGUCCCCUGAGGUGUGGCCAGUCCUAGGCUGUGGUGUCACCUGGUGGUGCCAGUGGGGGUGAUAUCAGUGCGCGGUAUGGCGCCCUGUGGGGUCCCCGCUGUGUCCCCUGGGCCAGUCACUGCUGACAUUCGUCCUUGCAUGACCAAGGACUUAGAAGUCAUCUGCGGGCCAUGGACCCGCUGGGAGAGGGCAGGACAGGCACCCCGUGCUCCCUCGACGAUCACAUUCUGCAGGCCCUUUGUCCUGACCCGACUUUCCCUGAAACUGGCAUUAACAUUUAUUGCAGGUAGUUGGUCAUAAGAUUUCUCUUAAAAUCAUUCCUUUUUGUUGUCAGCUUGAGGAUAUUAAAGUUUUAAAGCCAGGCUCAGCACGCACGUAGUUAAAGUACCUUUCACAAUGCAAGUAGUCUCAGUAGAAUUGCAGUAAAACGCCUGCUCUUACAGCGUGUGAGACUUUGGACGUGUGACGGAGCCACAGAAAUGGGGCGCGGGGCCACCAAUCCAGCCUGUCAGCGUCCCUCCUCCCCUCUCAGCCCGCAGGAUUGUGCUCCACUAUCUCACCUCCCUUGGGUGCUUUGUAUGUGAAAGUGUCAAAACACAAGGAGAAAGUGGUUUGGCUUUUCUUUGUAAAUCCUGUGUUUCCAGCUAGUCUGGGUUUGGGUCCUUGGGUGCAGACAGGUACUGAAGACAGUGACUGUACAGACCCCCAGGCUGCAUUGUCAACUCCAGCCUGCUGCCCGCCCUGGGGGUCAAUGCUGCUGAGUGGCCAGCUGAAGACCCAGAUCCAGGACUGGAGGGCAAAGUGUGCAUCACCCCUACUGACUCACACACAUUUCCUAAGCACUAUAAACGUGACGGAAGAUACUGUUUUUGAGAGUUUGAAGAAAGGCAUCCCCCCCUGCCACAUGUGCCUCUCUUGCAGAUUCCUGAGGAACUCAAGGGUCUGCCCUGGACACCGAGGCAAGAGCUGGAGAGGCGGACGAGGCCCUGGAUGACAUCACCGCCGCCGUGGACCGGACCCACCCUAACCCAUCGACAAGCACAAUCGGAGGGCAAAGAAAAACUGACUUAGAGGGACAAGAAAGCAUGACAGUCACUUCCCUGAGUGCUUUGUUCUCAACACCUGCACGCUUCCUUGACCAGAAAGCCCGGGAAGUUGGGUCCAGGGCUAGGCGGUACCUGGAGGCCCUUGCCCUGGGAGGUGCAGGCCUGCCUGGCUGUAGGGGCCUGGCUCCCUGUGUACUGUAUGCUGACCAUGGCCCCCAGCGGGGAGGAGAAGCUCCAGGAGGCCUGCCACCCCCAUGGUGGCCCAGCUCCUCUUGCUCUCACCUGUCCUGGGCCCUGAUUCCCUGCUCCCUACCCUUACUCCCUCACUCCUCCCCCCCACUAUCCCCCUUCUCCCUCCCUCUCCUCCC